Molecule: ribosomal RNA, 274 nt
Filed under: uncultured bacterium
Lineage: Bacteria
Description: partial 16S ribosomal RNA
Rfam family: Bacterial small subunit ribosomal RNA
Source: RNAcentral
AUACGAAGGGUGCUAGCGUUGUUCGGAAUUACUGGGCGUAAAGAGCAUGUAGGCGGAUAGAUUAGUCAGAGGUGAAAGCCCCGAGCUCAACUCGGGAACUGCCUUUGAUACUGUUUAUCUAGAGACCGAGAGAGGUGAGUGGAAUUCUCAGUGUAGAGGUGAAAUUCGUAGAUAUUGGGAAGAACACCGGUGGCGAAGGCGGCUCACUGGCUCGGAACUGACGCUGAGAUGCGAAAGCGUGGGGAGCGAACAGGAUUAGAAACCCUAGUAGUCC